Molecule: long non-coding RNA, 444 nt
Filed under: Gossypium barbadense (sea-island cotton)
Lineage: Eukaryota; Viridiplantae; Streptophyta; Magnoliopsida; Malvales; Malvaceae
Description: long non-coding RNA (GBAR_LNC018429)
Source: RNAcentral
UUAAAAAUUAAUUUGGCCCUUAAACUUUAGCUAAAAUAUCAUUUUGAUACUUUUAGAAUUCUGUUAACAGUAAUUCUAAAAGAAUUAAUAAAAAAAAUCUAAAAGCAUCAUAAAAUUAUACUUUUCGAAAUUAUAAUUAUACGAACUAAAAGGGAUCAUUCCCCUGUACGUCCAUGCACCAUACACAUUGGCCUACGGGGCGAUGCCUUUGGGCACCCUGGUCAUUGGUUGCCUACUGGGCUACAAUGGCCUCGAUUAGACUUGCGCGUUGGGGUUACGAUGGCCUCGGUUGAUACGAACUCGCCCAAGGACUCAGCUGACUCCAAACGAGAUCCAAUCGGGCUGCCUAGUGGACCGAUCACUCAAGCACGAGCCAAACGAUUUAAAGAGUCAAUAUCGGCUUUAGUUGAUCGAGUUUGGAAGGAAACUGCAAAUGGACUCGUC